UUUCCGUAGGUGAACCUGCGGAAGGAUCAUUAAAGAAUUUGCCCCGUCCUCUCGAGGAUGGGUCCUCUUCUAAACCGUGUAUACAUACCUUUGUUGCUUUGGCGGGCCGCCGUCUCGGCGUUGGCUUCGGCUGACUGUGCCCGCCAGAGAACCCCAACUCUUCUGUUUAGUAUUGUCUGAGUACUAUAUAAUAGUUAAAACUUUCAACAACGGAUCUCUUGGUUCUG
RNAcentral lists this unclassified non-coding RNA (227 nucleotides) under plant metagenome. RNAcentral describes it as "partial contains small subunit ribosomal RNA, internal transcribed spacer 1, and 5.8S ribosomal RNA". The record is from RNAcentral.